This 711-nucleotide ribosomal RNA is filed under the name Lactococcus lactis. Its description in RNAcentral is "bacterial SSU rRNA". It matches the Rfam family "Bacterial small subunit ribosomal RNA", at positions 54 to 748 of the family's 1533-position model. The record is from RNAcentral. Lineage: Bacteria; Bacillati; Bacillota; Bacilli; Lactobacillales; Streptococcaceae.
CAUGCAAGUUGAGCGAUGAAGAUUGGUGCUUGCACCAAUUUGAAGAGCAGCGAACGGGUGAGUAACGCGUGGGGAAUCUGCCUUUGAGCGGGGGACAACAUUUGGAAACGAAUGCUAAUACCGCAUAACAACUUUAAACAUAAGUUUUAAGUUUGAAAGAUGCAAUUGCAUCACUCAAAGAUGAUCCCGCGUUGUAUUAGCUAGUUGGUGAGGUAAAGGCUCACCAAGGCGAUGAUACAUAGCCGACCUGAGAGGGUGAUCGGCCACAUUGGGACUGAGACACGGCCCAAACUCCUACGGGAGGCAGCAGUAGGGAAUCUUCGGCAAUGGACGAAAGUCUGACCGAGCAACGCCGCGUGAGUGAAGAAGGUUUUCGGAUCGUAAAACUCUGUUGGUAGAGAAGAACGUUGGUGAGAGUGGAAAGCUCAUCAAGUGACGGUAACUACCCAGAAAGGGACGGCUAACUACGUGCCAGCAGCCGCGGUAAUACGUAGGUCCCGAGCGUUGUCCGGAUUUAUUGGGCGUAAAGCGAGCGCAGGUGGUUUAUUAAGUCUGGUGUAAAAGGCAGUGGCUCAACCAUUGUAUGCAUUGGAAACUGGUAGACUUGAGUGCAGGAGAGGAGAGUGGAAUUCCAUGUGUAGCGGUGAAAUGCGUAGAUAUAUGGAGGAACACCGGUGGCGAAAGCGGCUCUCUGGCCUGUAACUGACACUG